UACGUAGGGUGCAAGCGUUAAUCGGAAUUACUGGGCGUAAAGCGUGCGCAGGCGGUUUUGUAAGUUUGUCGUGAAAUCCCCGGGCUCAACCUGGGAAUGGCGAUGAAGACUGCAAGGCUAGAAUCUGGCAGAGGGGGGUAGAAUUCCACGUGUGAGCAGUGAAAUGCGUAGAGAUGUGGAGGAACACCGAUGGCGAAGGCAGCCCCCUGGGUCAAGAUUGACGCUCAUGCACGAAAGCGUGGGGAGCAACAGGAUUACGAACCCGAGUAAGAUCCAG
This 277-nucleotide ribosomal RNA is filed under the name uncultured bacterium. RNAcentral's name for it is "partial 16S ribosomal RNA". It matches the Rfam family "Bacterial small subunit ribosomal RNA", at positions 524 to 798 of the family's 1533-position model. The record is from RNAcentral.